UUAGUACUCCCUCCGUCCUAAAUUUCUUGUCUUAGAUUUGUCUAUAUAUGAAUGUAUCUAGUCAUAUUUUAGUAUAUAGGUAUAUCCAUUUUUAGACAAACCUAAGACAAAAAUUUAGGACGGAGGGAGUAUAUA
RNAcentral lists this microRNA precursor (135 nucleotides) under Hordeum vulgare. Its description in RNAcentral is "microRNA MIR1122". It matches the Rfam family "MIR1120/MIR1122 microRNA precursor family". Lineage: Eukaryota; Viridiplantae; Streptophyta; Magnoliopsida; Poales; Poaceae. The record is from RNAcentral.